This 492-nucleotide ribosomal RNA is filed under the name uncultured bacterium. Its description in RNAcentral is "partial 16S ribosomal RNA". It matches the Rfam family "Bacterial small subunit ribosomal RNA", at positions 28 to 507 of the family's 1533-position model. The record is from RNAcentral.
GGUGAACGCUGGCGGUAGGCCUAACACAUGCAAGUCGAACGGCAGCACAGUAAGAGCUUGCUCUUACGGGUGGCGAGUGGCGGACGGGUGAGGAGUACAUCGGAAUCUACUUUUUCGUGGGGGAUAACGUAGGGAAACUUACGCUAAUACCGCAUACGACCUACGGGUGAAAGCAGGGGAUCUUCGGACCUUGCGCGAUUGAAUGAGCCGAUGUCGGAUUAGCUAGUUGGCGGGGUAAAGGCCCACCAAGGCGACGAUCCGUAGCUGGUCUGAGAGGAUGAUCAGCCACACUGGAACUGAGACACGGUCCAGACUCCUACGGGAGGCAGCAGUGGGGAAUAUUGGACAACGGGCGCAAGCCUGAUCCAGCCAUACCGCGUGGGUGAAGAAGGCCUUCGGGUUGUAAAGCCCUUUUGUUGGGAAAGAAAAGCAGCAGGUUAAUACCCCGCUGUUCUGACGGUACCCAAAGAAUAAGCACCGGCUAACUUCGUG